Molecule: unclassified non-coding RNA, 255 nt
Filed under: uncultured fungus
Lineage: Eukaryota; Fungi
Description: sequence contains ITS2
Rfam family: 5.8S ribosomal RNA (bases 1-52)
Source: RNAcentral
AACGCACAUUGCGCCCCUUGGUAUUCCGAGGGGCAUGCCUGUUCGAGCGUCAUUACACCACUCAAGCACUGCUUGGUAUUGGGCAUCGUCCGUCGAAAGACGGGCGUGCCUCGAAGACCUCGGCGGGGCCUAACCGGCUUCGGGCGUAGUAGAGUUAAAUCGAACGUCUUAUAAGUCUGGUUAGAACCCAUUGCCGUAAAACCUUUUAUUUUCUAGGUUGACCUCGGAUCAGGUAGGGAUACCCGCUGAACUUAA